RNAcentral lists this ribosomal RNA (1299 nucleotides) under human gut metagenome. RNAcentral's name for it is "bacterial LSU rRNA". It matches the Rfam family "Bacterial large subunit ribosomal RNA", at positions 593 to 1980 of the family's 2925-position model. The record is from RNAcentral.
GUGAUAGGGUACUUUUUGUAGAACGGUCCGGCGAGCGAUUGUAUGCAGCAAGGUUAAGGACUUAAGGUCUGGAGCCGAAGCGAAAGCGAGUUUGAAAAGGGCGUUAAGUUGCAUAUAAUGGGCCCGAAACCGGGUGACCUACCCAUGGUCAGGUUGAAGUGGAAGUAAAAUUCCAUGGAGGACCGAACCGACCUCCGUUGAAAAGGCGGCGGAUGAACUGUGGGUAGCGGAGAAAUUCCAAUCGAACCCGGAGAUAGCUGGUUCUCCCCGAAAUAGUUUUAGGACUAGCCUCAAGUUAGAUACCUGGAGGUAAAGCACUGAAUAGCCUAGCGGCCGAGAGGUUAGCGAAGCUUAUCAAACUCAGAAUGCCAGAGUAUUGAUGCUUGGGAGUCAGACAGUGUCAGAUAAAUGUCAUUGUCAAAAGGGAAACAGCCCAGAUCUACAGCUAAGGUCCCAAAGUCAGGUUAAGUGGAAAACGAUGUGAAGAUACGUAGACAACCAGGAUGUUGGCUCAGAAGCAGCCACACAUUCAAAGAGUGCGUAAUAGCUCACUGGUCGAGCGUCUUUGCGCGGAGAAUUUAACGGGGCUAAACCUGACACCGAAGCUUAGGCAAUACAGCAAUGUAUUGGGUAGGGGAGCGUUGUAUACGCGGUGAAACAGUAGCGCAAGCGGCUGUGGAGUGUAUAGAAGUGAGAAUGCCGGAAUGAGUAGCGCGAAUGCAGUGAGAAUCUGCAUGGCCGAAAGCCUCAGGUUUCUGGAGGAAGGUUCGUCCGCUCCAGGUUAGUCGGGAGCUAAGGUGAGGCCUAACGGCGUAGCCGAUGCACAGACGGUAGAGAUUCCGUCACCACCAAAAGAGUUAAACACAGGGACACAUAUGAAGUCUCGGAGCCGGGUGUUGGUUCCGGUAGCGAUCGAGGGAAGUUAGUACCGAAGUCCGGGAUGGAAGAUGGCGAGAAAAGCUGUGUGUAUUUCUGCGGUGCCCGUACCGCAAACCGACACAGGUAGGUAGGAAGAAGAUUCUAAGGCCAACGGGAGAAGGGUUGUUAAGGAACUCGGCAAAUUGACCCCGUAACUUCGGGAGAAGGGGUGCUCCAGAGAUGGAGCCGCAGAGAAUCGGCCCAAGCAACUGUUUACCAAAAACACAGGUUUGUGCUAAAUCGAAAGAUGACGUAUACGAGCUGACGCCUGCCCGGUGCUGGAAGGUUAAGAGGAGAUGUGCAAGCAUUGAAUCGAAGCCCCAGUGAACGGCGGCCGUAACUAUAACGGUCCUAAGGUAGCGAAAUUCCUUGUCAGGUAAG